GGUUAAGUGACUAAGCGUAUACGGUGGAUGCCUUGGCAGUUGGAGGCGAUGAAGGACGUACUAACUUGCGAUAAGCCUAGUUGAGCCAGUAAGAGGCGCUUGAGACUAGGAUUUCCGAAUGGGGAAACCCACCUGCUUGCAGGUAUCAUAUGGUGAAUACAUAGCCAUAUGAGGCGAACGCGGAGAACUGAAACAUCUAAGUACCCGUAGGAAAAGAAAUCAACCGAGAUUCCGAAAGUAGCGGCGAGCGAAAUCGGAACAGCCCUUAAGCUGUUUUGUAAUUAGUGGAAGGCUCUGGAAAGUGCCACGAUACAGGGUGAUAGUCCCGUACACAAAAAUUUAUAAGCAGUGAAAUCGAGUAGGUCGGAGCACGUGAAACUUUGACUGAAUAUAGGUGGACCAUCAUCUAAGGCUAAAUACUCCCAACUGACCGAUAGUGAACCAGUACCGUGAGGGAAAGGCGAAAAGAACCCCUGUGAGGGGAGUGAAAUAGAACCUGAAACCGUAUACGUACAAGCAGUAGGAGCCUACUUGUUAGGUGACUGCGUACCUUUUGUAUAAUGGGUCAGCGACUUAUAUUCUGUAGCGAGGUUAACCGAUUAGGGUAGCCGUAGCGAAAGCGAGUCUUAACUGGGCGCUUAGUUGCAGGGUAUAGACCCGAAACCCGGUGAUCUAGCCAUGGGCAGGUUGAAGGUUGAGUAACAUCAACUGGAGGACCGAACCCACUAACGUUGAAAAGUUAGGGGAUGACCUGUGGCUAGGAGUGAAAGGCUAAUCAAACCGGGAGAUAGCUGGUUCUCCCCGAAAUCUAUUUAGGUAGAGCCUCGGACGAAUACUUACGGGGGUAGAGCACUGUUAAGGCUAGGGGGUCAUCCCGACUUACCAACCCUUUGCAAACUCCGAAUACCGUAAAGUAAUAUCCGGGAGACACACGGUGGGUGCUAACGUCCAUCGUGAAGAGGGAAACAACCCAGACCGCCAGCUAAGGUCCCAAAGUAUAUGUUAAGUGGGAAACGAUGUGGGAAGGCUAAAACAGCUAGGAGGUUGGCUUAGAAGCAGCCACCCUUUAAAGAAAGCGUAAUAGCUCACUAGUCGAGUCGGCCUGCGCGGAAGAUGUAACGGGGCUAAACAUAUCACCGAAGCUGCGGAUUUGUCUUAGGACAAGUGGUAGGGGAGCGUUCUGUAAGCGGUUGAAGGUGUACCGGGAGGUAUGCUGGACGUAUCAGAAGUGCGAAUGCUGACAUGAGUAACGAUAAUGCGGGUGAAAAACCCGCACGCCGGAAGACCAAGGGUUCCUAUCCCAUGUUAAUCAGGGUAGGGUAAGUCGACCCCUAAGGCGAGGCUGAAGAGCGUAGUCGAUGGGAAACAGAUUAAUAUUUCUGUACUUGGAAUAAUUGCGAUGGGGGGACGGAGCAGGCUAAGCAAGCAUGGCGUUGGUUGUCCAUGUGAAAGUGAGUAGGCUA
Molecule: ribosomal RNA, 1463 nt
Filed under: Pseudoalteromonas sp. MMG013
Lineage: Bacteria; Pseudomonadati; Pseudomonadota; Gammaproteobacteria; Alteromonadales; Pseudoalteromonadaceae
Description: partial 23S ribosomal RNA
Rfam family: Bacterial large subunit ribosomal RNA
Source: RNAcentral